RNAcentral lists this ribosomal RNA (383 nucleotides) under uncultured bacterium. RNAcentral's name for it is "bacterial SSU rRNA". It matches the Rfam family "Bacterial small subunit ribosomal RNA", at positions 30 to 415 of the family's 1533-position model. The record is from RNAcentral.
AUUGAACGCUGGCGGCAUGCCUUACACAUGCAAGUCGAACGGUAACGGGCCUUCGGGUGCCGACGAGUGGCGAACGGGUGAGUAAUGCAUCGGAACGUACCUUUCAGUGGGGGAUAACGUAGCGAAAGUUACGCUAAUACCGCAUAUUCUGUGAGCAGGAAAGCAGGGGAUCGCAAGACCUUGCGCUGAUUGAGCGGCCGAUGUCAGAUUAGCUAGUUGGUGAGGUAAAGGCUCACCAAGGCGACGAUCUGUAGCGGGUCUGAGAGGAUGAUCCGCCACACUGGAACUGAGACACGGUCCAGACUCCUACGGGAGGCAGCAGUGGGGAAUUUUGGACAAUGGGGGCAACCCUGAUCCAGCCAUGCCGCGUGAGUGAAGAAGGC